Chenopodium quinoa (quinoa) is the source of this 3266-nucleotide long non-coding RNA. RefSeq lists it as uncharacterized. The record is from RefSeq and is a predicted model, not a curated record. NCBI's taxonomy places the organism in Eukaryota, Viridiplantae, Streptophyta, Magnoliopsida, Caryophyllales, Amaranthaceae. The transcript has 4 exons.
CGUUAUUAAAAAAAUAACAAAAAAUAGAAAAAAAUAACAAAAAAUUUAAAUUUUUUUUUUUUUAAAAAAAACCUGCUGCCAGCCAGUCAUUCCGGCCACCCCACCGCCAAACCCCCUUACUACCGAACCCCAUCAACCAGCACCGGCAGGCGCACCUCCCCUUUAUGAUUUCGGCCACCCCACCCCUCCCCUUCCGAUUUCAGUGCCACCAGCCAUUCCAGCAGCCCCCUUCCCCUCCCUUUCCUCGCACCCCCUUUCCUCACACCAGAAUCGAAGCAUUUCCGUUUCUAUUACCAUUUCCGUUCAAUUUCAAGCUAUCCACUCCAUUAAUCACCAGAAUUUCUCUCUCCUCCGUUGACGGAACCGUAUUCUCCCUUACAGCUUGAAUUCACUGAAAUCUAGGGUUCUGCGAACUGCAACUUCAAAAGUUAAACCAGUAACAAAGAGGGAAAAAGGUUGAUUAAAUAAGCCUUCUGAGAUUCGAGCAGAAGGUGGGCUUCUCCCCCUAUUUUCGAGAGUUUGCACGCCUGAAUUUGGGGUGUGAACCACCAGAUCGAGGCCAACACCUAUUGAAACAGUCAUAGCAGCAGAAAAGGAGUUCGCAAAAGGAACUUGAGUAGAGUUUUCCGAUGAGUUCCCGGAAUCAGAGUUGCCAUCUCCAGCGAGAAUUGUUGGAGAGGAGGGGUUUCGCGACGGGAAAGAGGAGGGGAGGGGGAGGGCUUGCUUCGGCGGCCGCCGGAACGCCUGCCGGUGAGGGUGCAGGUCGCCGGCGGCAGGGAGCGGGUGGUGGAAGGGGUGGUGGCUGGGUGGUUUUUUUUAAUUUUUUUUAAUUGUUUUUCAUUUUUUUUAAAAAAAAUAUUAUUUUUGUCAAAACUAACCAAUUAGAAAGUGACCCGUGGCAAGUGGUGGGGUCAACUAACGGCCGUCAGUCAUUAAUGGCACUCGGUGAAUUUUUGUAAACCUCGGUGGCAUUUGGUGAAUUUGGAAAAGGCUCAUGGCAUUUGGUAAAUUUCGCAAUUGCUUAGUGGCAUUUGGUGAAAUAGCCGUAAAAAAAUUAUAAGCCAUUUUUAGAUCCUUAUAUCCCCUUUCCCGCGAAACUCUUCUCGACCACGACGGAGCUUGAGGCGAGCAAUCUGUACCAAAUUUUAGGCGUGGUGCUUAAGUUACUCGGGCAAAUAAUCACCAAAUUUUGCACCUCCGUUGUCCAUCUCUUUGGGUCGAAGGGAACAGGGUAAGGUAUUGUUACUCAGGCAACAAAUCACCUUUUUUUGAAGCUCCGUUCUUCAUAUCUUUGUGUUGAAGUGAACAGGGUUAUCAAUGGAGGUUGAAGAUCCUGCGGUAAUUGGUGAACCACUCGAUUUGGAGCAAGGAAUUGAACUAAUUGAGUUGGAAGCGGAAGAAACGGAGGUCUUUUUGAUGAGACAUAUGUGGAUCCGCGCAUAUACAAAACACCUAUUUUGGGCUAGAAUGAAAACUACGCAGCGUUCUGAGAGCAUUAAUAGCUUUUUUGAUAAGUAUGUGAAGAGGGACACUCGGUUGUUUGAGUUUGCAGAGAGGUACUUCGAUGCCAUGGAAAAUAGGACAAACGCGGAGAAAGAAACAGAUGCAAAUAGUGCCAUAAGGGUGAGACAACUCAUUACCGACUUUGAAUAGGAGAGAGCCUUUCAAAAGGUGUACACUGAUGCCAAGUUUGAAAAGGUCCAGGAGCAGUGUACCAGGCUUAUGUACGUGAGUGUUCUCUAGAAAACGCAAAUAUCAGAAACUGUUGUGGAGCAUUUGGUUGAAGAUAGGGUAUGGAAAUAUGUGAAAGAGUUGAAGAAGGAGAUGCCAAGCCCGAGUAAGAGAGUUUACACUAUAAACUUCAACCCUGAAAUGAAAGAUGCUUUGUGUGAAUGCAAGCAAUUUGAGUGUCAUGGGAUUCAUGUGUAGGCAUCAGUUAAAGGUGUAUGAUGUGAAUGAUGUGACUGAAGUGCCAUCUAAGUAUUUACUAAGGUGUUGGCGUAAAGACAUUCACAUGCGUCAUACUCGUGUGAAGGUGGCAUACCAUGACCCUACGAAAACGGAAGAAGUGAAGAGGUAUGAUAAAAUAUUGACUCGGUUUGAUAGUGUUUGCUUGAAGGUAGCUACUCGUCCAGAAUAUGUUAAGAUGGCCUUUGAAGCCAUUAGCAAGCUAGAAAGUAAGUUGGAUGCUGCCAUAGAAAAAGAGAAGGAGAAGGAGAAGAAGAAAGAGAAGGGUAACUCUAAUUCAGGCUAUAGGGCAUCAUCUCCAUCUGUGAACAAUAACGGUCCAAAUCAGGUUGAAGAGCCAAUUGCGACAAUGAGUAGAUUUGUUGUUGAGUCUCUUGGAAACUUGUCCGCCAUAGGCCUUGAAGACAUAUCCCUUGACCUGGAAGGUCUUAAUGAUAAUACACCGCUCAUAACAAUGGAAACACCCCAAUUGGUUUCACAUAAUGUUAGUUUGGUGAAUGUGAGUCCUUCUGUUGUUGGGAAAGUCUAUUUCAGUCGGGGAUCCAAUAUCCAAGAGAAAACCACAUAGACCAAGGGGUAAGCGAUUCCUUUCAUGUACAGAGAAAGGUCGUACCAGACCCAGUAAUAAAUAGCGCAAAAAUGGUCCACUUACCACUCAGGAAAAUUUACAAGACACUUCUCAGGGGAUUGAACCCUUUGCCCAAGAACCCUAACCUGCUAAAAACAAAACAAACAAGGAAGUCUAAUAUUAAGGAAUCAGCACCAAGUACGCAUGAAAGUGUAAAAUGAAUUCUUUGUGUGGAAUCAGUAGCUAAGUUGGGUGAGGGGAACAGGGGGUAAUAAUUUUUUUGUUUUAAAUCCAUGGACAAGAAGCAAAUUAGUGGUCUUCAUAUCCACCAAGCAUGAGCACAAAUGCCCCCCAGUGGGUUUGUGGUAUCGGCUAUGGACCAAGCUACGGCGAACUUGGUUAUUUUACCAGAUGAAUUCAUUCAUGCCCAGAGUGGGUAAUACGUACUUCGGGAUGUUCAUUCCUUUUGUUUCUACUACAAGUACCCUUACAAUGCAUCACAGUGUGGAAAUCAUUUCGGUUUAGGACGCUUAUGAGUUCAUUGGGGGAGAUUCCUUUUUGGCAGAAUUUUGGAAGCCUGCCAUGGCCAAAAAUGUGAAGCAGGAUGGAAUAUGUGUUGUUUAACAUAUUAGUGGCCCCAAAAUGGUUAUAUUUUGCUGUAAUUUUGAUCAAACGUCAUAUUUCUCAUUUUGUAUUCCAAACAAAUAUUGAAAAUGGUUGAAUGGUAUAA